AAAAAAAAAAACAAAUAGCUAACCUUCCCCUGACUUCGGGAUAAGCCCGGGAAACUGGGUCUAAUACCGGAUACGACUGCCGGACGCAUGUCUGGUUGGGGAAAGUUUUUUCGGUUGGGGAUAAGCUCGCGGCCUAUCAGUGUGUUGGUUAGGUAAUGGCUCACCAAGACGUCAACGGGUAGCCGGCCUGAGAGGGCGACCGUUCACAUGUGGACUGAGACUCGGUCCAGACUCCUCAGGGAUGCAGCAGUGGGGAAUAUUGCACAAUGGGGGAAACCCUGAUGCAGCGACGUUUUUUUUUUUU
RNAcentral lists this ribosomal RNA (304 nucleotides) under uncultured bacterium. RNAcentral's name for it is "partial 16S ribosomal RNA". It matches the Rfam family "Bacterial small subunit ribosomal RNA", at positions 100 to 396 of the family's 1533-position model. The record is from RNAcentral.